AGUGAACGCUGGCGGUAGGCCUAACACAUGCAAGUCGAACGGCAGCACAGUAAGAGCUUGCUCUUACGGGUGGCGAGUGGCGGACGGGUGAGGAAUACAUCGGAAUCUACUUUUUCGUGGGGGAUAACGUAGGGAAACUUACGCUAAUACCGCAUACGACCUACGGGUGAAAGCAGGGGAUCUUCGGACCUUACGCGAUUGAAUGAGCCGAUGUCGGAUUAGCUAGUUGGCGGGGUAAAGGCCCACCAAGGCGACGAUCCGUAGCUGGUCUGAGAGGAUGAUCAGCCACACUGGAACUGAGACACGGUCCAGACUCCUACGGGAGGCAGCAGUGGGGAAUAUUGGACAAUGGGCGCAAGCCUGAUCCAGCCAUACCGCGUGGGUGAAGAAGGCCUUCGGGUUGUAAAGCCCUUUUGUUGGGAAAGAGAAGCAGCAGGUUAAUACCCCGCUGUUCUGACGGUACCCAAAGAAUAAGCACCGGCUAACUUCGUG
This 492-nucleotide ribosomal RNA is filed under the name uncultured bacterium. RNAcentral describes it as "partial 16S ribosomal RNA". It matches the Rfam family "Bacterial small subunit ribosomal RNA", at positions 29 to 507 of the family's 1533-position model. The record is from RNAcentral.